This is a non-coding RNA of Phrynosoma platyrhinos (Desert horned lizard), 73 nucleotides long. The record is from the annotation of a GenBank genome assembly. Lineage: Eukaryota; Metazoa; Chordata; Lepidosauria; Squamata; Phrynosomatidae.
GGCCAGUGUGGUGUAGUGGUUUGAGUAUUGGGCUCUGGCUCUGGAGAACAGGGUUCAAAUCCCAGCUUGGCCA